AGUGAACGCUGGCGGUAGGCCUAACACAUGCAAGUCGAACGGCAGCACAGUAAGAGCUUGCUCUUACGGGUGGCGAGUGGCGGACGGGUGAGGAAUACAUCGGAAUCUACUUUUUCGUGGGGGAUAACGUAGGGAAACUUACGCUAAUACCGCAUACGACCUACGGGUGAAAGCAGGGGAUCUUCGGACCUUGCGCGAUUGAAUGAGCCGAUGUCGGAUUAGCUAGUUGGCGGGGUAAAGGCCCACCAAGGCGACGAUCCGUAGCUGGUCUGAGAGGAUGAUCAGCCACACUGGAACAGAGACACGGUCCAGACUCCUACGGGAGGCAGCAGUGGGGAAUAUUGGACAAUGGGCGCAAGCCUGCUCCAGCCAUACCGCGUGGGUGAAGAAGGCCUUCGGGUUGUAAAGCCCUUUUGUUGGGAAAGAAAAGCAGCAGGUUAAUACCCCGCUGUUCUGACGGUACCCUAAGAAUAAGCACCGGCUAGCUUCGUG
Molecule: ribosomal RNA, 492 nt
Filed under: uncultured bacterium
Lineage: Bacteria
Description: partial 16S ribosomal RNA
Rfam family: Bacterial small subunit ribosomal RNA
Source: RNAcentral